UACGGAGGAUGCAAGCGUUGUCCGGAAUUAUUGGGCGUAAAGAGCUCGUAGGCGGUCUGUCACGUCGGAUGUGAAAACCCGGGGCUCAACCCCGGGCCUGCAUUCGAUACGGGCAAACUAGAGUUCGGUAGGGGAGACUGGAAUUCCUGGUGUAGCGGUGAAAUGCGCAGAUAUCAGGAGGAACACCGGUGGCGAAGGCGGGUCUCUGGGCCGAAACUGACGCUGAGGAGCGAAAGCGUGGGGAGCGAACAGG
This 253-nucleotide ribosomal RNA is filed under the name uncultured bacterium. RNAcentral describes it as "partial 16S ribosomal RNA". It matches the Rfam family "Bacterial small subunit ribosomal RNA", at positions 524 to 776 of the family's 1533-position model. The record is from RNAcentral.